This 420-nucleotide ribosomal RNA is filed under the name uncultured bacterium. Its description in RNAcentral is "bacterial SSU rRNA". It matches the Rfam family "Bacterial small subunit ribosomal RNA", at positions 83 to 515 of the family's 1533-position model. The record is from RNAcentral.
CAGCAAUGCCUAGCGGCGAACGGUCGCGUAACACGUAAGCAACCUGCCCCCAAGACCGGGACAACGUUCCGAAAGGAGCGCUAAUACCGGAUGUGCCCAUCGGGUGACAUCGCCUGGUGAGUAAAUCAAGCAAUUGGCUUAGGGAGGGGCUUGCGGCCUAUCAGCUAGAUGGUGGGGUAACGGCCUACCAUGGCGACGACGGGUAGCUGGUCUGAGAGGAUGGUCAGCCGGAUUGGGACUGAGAUACGGCCCAGACUCCUACGGGGGGCAGCAAUUAGGAAUCUUGCACAAUGGGCGAAAGCCUGAUGCAGCGACGUCGCGUGGGGGAGGAAGGCUUUCGGGUUGUAAACCCCUUUUACCCAGGAAGAAACAAAUGACGGUACUGGGUGAAUAAGCCCCGGCUAACUACGUGCCAGCACC